Molecule: ribosomal RNA, 644 nt
Filed under: uncultured Lachnospiraceae bacterium
Lineage: Bacteria; Bacillati; Bacillota; Clostridia; Lachnospirales; Lachnospiraceae
Description: bacterial SSU rRNA
Rfam family: Bacterial small subunit ribosomal RNA
Source: RNAcentral
CGAAGCGCUUUCGAUUGAAUCUUCGGAGGAAAUAGGAAGUGACUGAGUGGCGGACGGGUGAGUAACGCGUGGGUAACCUGCCUCAUACAGAGGGAUAACAGUUAGAAAUGGCUGCUAAUACCGCAUAAGCAUACAGCACCGCAUGGUGCAGUGUGAAAAACUCCGGUGGUAUGAGAUGGACCCGCGUCUGAUUAGGUAGUUGGUNGGGGUAACGGCCUACCAAGCCGACGAAUCAGUAGCCGACCUNGAGAAGGGUGACCGGCCACAUUGGGACUGAGACACGGNCCAAACUCCUACGGGAGGCAGCAGUGGGGAAUAUUGCACAAUGGGGGAAACCCUGAUGCAGCGACGCCGCGUGAAGGAAGAAGUAUUUCGGUAUGUAAACUUCUAUCAGCAGGGAAGAAAAUGACGGUACCUGACUAAGAAGCCCCGGCUAACUACGUGCCAGCAGCCGCGGUAAUAUGUAGGGGGCAAGCGUUAUCCGGAUUUACUGGGUGUAAAGGGAGCGUAGACGGAAGUGCAAGUCUGAAGUGAAAGCCCGGGGCUCAACCCCGUGACUGCUUUGGAAACUGUGCUUCUAGAGUGUCGGAGAGGUAAGCGGAAUUCCUAGUGUAGCGGUGAAAUGCGUAGAUAUUAGGAGGAAC